This 70-nucleotide transfer RNA is filed under the name Ictidomys tridecemlineatus (thirteen-lined ground squirrel). RNAcentral's name for it is "Spermophilus tridecemlineatus (thirteen-lined ground squirrel) tRNA". It matches the Rfam family "tRNA". From Rfam's summary of the family: Transfer RNA (tRNA) molecules are approximately 80 nucleotides in length. The record is from Rfam by way of RNAcentral. Lineage: Eukaryota; Metazoa; Chordata; Mammalia; Rodentia; Sciuridae.
GGGGUUGUGGCUCAGUGGUUAGAGCGCUUGCCUAGCAUGCAUGAGGCAUUGGGUUCGAUUCUCAGCACCA